AAAAUAGAAAAAAAAAUUUGCUAAAUUUUUAAAGUAUUUGUUAUCAUAUAUACCUAUUUUG
This 61-nucleotide transfer RNA is filed under the name Lissoclinum patella. RNAcentral's name for it is "tRNA-Ser". The record is from RNAcentral. Lineage: Eukaryota; Metazoa; Chordata; Ascidiacea; Aplousobranchia; Didemnidae.